RNAcentral lists this non-coding RNA (175 nucleotides) under uncultured Alistipes sp. The record is from RNAcentral. Lineage: Bacteria; Pseudomonadati; Bacteroidota; Bacteroidia; Bacteroidales; Rikenellaceae.
CGCCACGUGCGCACGGGAUUAAAAGGGAAUGCCGUGAAAGUCGGCAACAGUUCCCGCUGCUGUAAGCUCUCGCCCCUCGGGGUGCAACGUUCGUCAGCGAUCCUAAGCCACUGAAACAGACUCGUUUCGGGAAGGCCGCUGAGAAUAGAGCGAGUCAGAAGACCUGCCUUUGCGC